This 379-nucleotide unclassified non-coding RNA is filed under the name uncultured bacterium. RNAcentral describes it as "contains 16S-23S intergenic spacer region". The record is from RNAcentral.
UCCGGUUUGUCACCGGCAGUCUCCUUAGAGUGCCCAACUAAAUGAGGGCAACUAAGAACAAGGGUUGCGCUCGUUGCGGGACUUAACCCAACAUCUCACGACACGAGCUGACGACAACCAUGCACCACCUGUCACCACUGUCCCCGAAGGGAAAGCUAUGUCUCCAUAGCGGUCAAUGGGAUGUCAAGACCUGGUAAGGUUCUUCGCGUUGCGUCGAAUUAAACCACAUGCUCCGCUGCUUGUGCGGGCCCCCGUCAAUUCCUUUGAGUUUUAGCCUUGCGGCCAUACUCCCCAGGCGGGGUGCUUAAUGCGUUAGCUGCGGCACGGAUGGAGUCGACACCACCCACACCUAGCACCCAUCGUUUACGGCGUGGACUAC